This 274-nucleotide small RNA is filed under the name marine eukaryotic metagenome. Its description in RNAcentral is "5' ureB small RNA". It matches the Rfam family "5' ureB small RNA". The record is from RNAcentral.
CCUGCUGGGGACAAAUAAAAUGAAUAUGUGAAUCGAUGCCACCGGCAGUCAAAAUCUGAUCUUCGCCGGCGAUCGCCUCGGUUCCGGGGCCAAUAACAAUAUUGACGCCCGUUUGCACGUCCGGAUUGCCGGCUUUGCCAAUGCCGCUGAUACGGCCAUUUUUGAUACCGACAUCGGCUUUGACGAUGCCCCACCAGUCCAGAAUCAGCGCAUUGGUAAUCACCACAUCAACAACCUCGGCGGCCAAACGCUGACUUUGUCCCAUGCCGUCGCG